Molecule: ribosomal RNA, 278 nt
Filed under: uncultured bacterium
Lineage: Bacteria
Description: partial 16S ribosomal RNA
Rfam family: Bacterial small subunit ribosomal RNA
Source: RNAcentral
AAUGAACGCUGGCGGCGUGGUUAAGACAUGCAAGUCGAACGGUUUUUCAGGUGUAGCAAUAACAUUUGUAAAGAACAGUGGCGAACGGGUGCGUAACACGUGAACAAUCUACCUUCAAAUAGGGGAAGUAAGCUCGCCGAAAGGACGAAUUAAUACCGCAUACGGUUGGUUCUCUCCUGAGAAAUCAUACCAAAGUCCGGGACCGCAAGGCCUGACGUUUGAAGAGGAGUUCGCGGCCUAUCAGCUAGUUGGCGAGGUAACGGCUCACCAAGGCUAAG